This 253-nucleotide ribosomal RNA is filed under the name uncultured bacterium. RNAcentral describes it as "partial 16S ribosomal RNA". It matches the Rfam family "Bacterial small subunit ribosomal RNA", at positions 524 to 776 of the family's 1533-position model. The record is from RNAcentral.
UACGUAGGGGGCAAGCGUUGUCCGGAUUUAUUGGGCGUAAAGAGCGUGUAGGCGGUCAGGUAGGUCCGUUGUGAAAACUCGAGGCUCAACCUCGAGACGCCGAUGGAAACCAUCUGACUAGAGUCCGGAAGAGGAGAGUGGAAUUCCUGGUGUAGCGGUGAAAUGCGCAGAUAUCAGGAAGAACACCCGUGGCGAAGGCGACUUACUGGACACAUAUUGACGCUGAGGUGCGAAAGCGUGGGGAGCAAACAGG